CCUACGGGAGGCAGCAGUGAGGAAUAUUGGUCAAUGGGCGGGAGCCUGAACCAGCCAAGCCGCGUGAGGGAAGAAGGUACAGCGUAUCGUAAACCUCUUUUGUCAGGGAACAAAGGCGGGGACUAGUCCCCGGAUGAGGGUACCUGAAGAAAAAGCAUCGGCUAACUCCGUGCCAGCAGCCGCGGUAAUACGGAGGAUGCGAGCGUUAUCCGGAUUUAUUGGGUUUAAAGGGUGCGCAGGCGGUCUGUUAAGUCAGCGGUCAAAGCCCGGGGCUCAACCCCGGCCCGCCGUUGAAACUGGCAGUCUCGAGUUGGAGAGAAGUAUGCGGAAUGCGCGGUGUAGCGGUGAAAUGCAUAGAUAUCGCGCAGAACUCCGAUUGCGAAGGCAGCAUGCCGGCUCCACACUGACGCUGAGGCACGAAAGCGUGGGUAUCGAACAGGAUUAGAUACCCUUGUAGUC
This 459-nucleotide ribosomal RNA is filed under the name uncultured bacterium. RNAcentral's name for it is "partial 16S ribosomal RNA". It matches the Rfam family "Bacterial small subunit ribosomal RNA", at positions 338 to 795 of the family's 1533-position model. The record is from RNAcentral.